CGCUUGGCUAUGAUUUGUAUAACAAAACACUAUAUCAUUAUUUGAAGUUAGAUUUUUUUGCUAGUUUGUAAGUGAAAUAUUUACCUCUUGAUAUGUAGGGUAGACCUGGCAUUGAUGGGAAGAGAGGUCUGGCUGGAAAAGAUGGAGAGCAAGGACAAAGAGGAGAUGAUGGCAAAAAGGUAUGAUUUGGAGCAAGUCUGGCUAUUCCCCACAUCAACACAAUAAACCAUUUUUGUGAUUUUGCUUCUCUAACUGUAGGGUGAUACAGGUGAAACUGGAACUGAUGGUAAAAAAGGGGAAUUGGGUGCUCCGGGCCUGCCUGGUACCCAUGUUCUGGUUACUCAACAGGAGGGUGCCACCCUUGAAGAGAUGCGACAGGCAUUCCCUUUGCCAAUGGGACCUCCUGGGGCUAAAGGUCCACCAGGGAUGAAGGGUGACGCUGGUCUUCCAGGGGAAGCAGCUGACAUGAAGAACAUUGAAGUCAUGUUUGAAGACUAUGGCAUAAGGCUGCCCUUGCUGAAGGCACUGAUUGACAGGCUGCUGCAGGACGGCAUGGUGGAGCUUCUGCAGGACCUAACCACCUCUAGGAGAGUCAAUGAGAAGGAGAAACACGGCUCCAACAUUAUCACUGACUACACAAGAACUGUAAAGUAUGAGAUCUCCAAGGAGCCUCUGACAGAGAUGGACACCAUAGAGGAGGCAGUUGACUCUGACUUAGACAGACAGCUACCAGAACCUAACUCUGAUGCUUUGGAUGAAACGGCGGAGGCCCCCACAUUCUGGAGCCUCACCACUCUUAAUGGUCUUAAAGGGGUCCAAGACGUGGGGAGGAUAGAGAGCACCUCUAAGGGGACAGAGGGGACACUGACAGUGGACGAGGAGUUCAGUGAAGCUCCCUCGCCCAAGUUGACUUUAUCAAACUCAACAUUUAACAACACUACGUCUGAAGAGAGGGUCUCUGAGGUACCAGGGGCAAUAGUAGAAACUGUUCUCCUCAGUGGGGAAGACUCCUUGAAGAAAAAGAAGAGUCGAGAACGGAAGGGCAAGGGACAGAAAGGACGACAUAAGAGGCAAAGAGAACGCCUGAUGAGUACGGAGGAGGAGGAGGAGGAAUUAUACGAUGGGGAAGAGUACAGUUAUGAAUAUGAGGAUUCCACAGAUGAUCCCUUACUGUCAAUGGAAAAGCAAGGGGAGUUUGAAAUCACAACAGAAAGCACACUACAUGGAAUGAGCAAAGAGAGUGGCCUGACAACUUUAGGUCCAUAUCCAUCCCAGUCACCGGGUGACAGUGAAAAGAAGGGGGAAUUCAUCACACCUAUCCUUCCCAGCACAACAGAAGAAACAGAGAAGGAUUCCACAGAUGAUCCCUUACUGUCAAUGGAAAAUCAAGGGGAGUUUGAAAUCACAACAGAAAGCACACUACAUGGAAUGAGCAAAGAGAGUGGCCUGACAACUUUAGGUCCAUAUCCAUCCCAGUCACCGGGUGACAGUGAAAAGAAGGGGGAAUUCAUCACACCUAUCCUUCCCAGCACAACAGAAGAAACAGAGAAGAUUUUCCCAAAAGAAAGCCCUGCCCAGUGUUCAAUAACAUGAAUACAUAGUCAGAUUGUGUCAUUAUAAUGAUUGGCCAACCAUCUUAGUGUCUGAGCACUUGUCAUCACUGCGUACAUUGAGAUCUUUCGUCUGACUAACAACUGUGAACAUUUCACCAGUGCAAAAGGACCUUUCCUAAAUCCACAAAGAUUGAGACUGUAGAUUUGUAAGCACGGAGUGUUUGUAUAAACUGUGAAGUGAAGUGUAUCGCUGGUGAGGAGCAGUCUACCCUUAACCUGACCAGCAUAACAUGAGGAGGGACUUCGCUUCGUCGCGCAAUGAUGAUGUCAUUUGUCCAAUGUCACUCGUCCAAUGCCACUUCUAUGACCAGAAUCGUUUCUUAUACUUAGUCCAAGUACCUAAAAGAUGAACAAUACAUAGGUAAAGCUAAGUUAAAUCAAGACAGUGUAUUAUAUAACGAUUAUUCGACUAAUAAAUUCUUCCAUCAGAUGUCAGUGUUAUUUUAGCGUUGACUUUGCAUAAACUAAUUUAUUUAUUAAAGAAGUUCAAAAUGUUACAUUGGACCUAAGCUAUAGUAUAGCUUCUCUCUGUUGCUUCAGUAUUCCAACACUUUUUACCUCCUCGUAAUUUGUUCAACCAUAUUCUAAUGUUUUCAGUGUAUCGCUGCUUAUCAAUUCCUCAACCAAACGUUAUUUAUUGAAAACAUGGAAAUAGAUUGUAUUUUGUUCCUUUUCUGUAUUAGUUACUACUUUUUCCAAUGAAAUGUGUUUCCAUCAUAUUUUUCAGAAUAUAUAGUAUUCAAACCUGUUUUCACUGGUGAAAUUUUGGCAGUCUAAAGUUCUCCCUUUGUAUUUAACCUCUCUGUGUGC
RNAcentral lists this long non-coding RNA (2423 nucleotides) under Salmo salar (Atlantic salmon). Its description in RNAcentral is "lncRNA (ENSSSAG00000107711.1)". Lineage: Eukaryota; Metazoa; Chordata; Actinopteri; Salmoniformes; Salmonidae. The record is from RNAcentral.